Molecule: long non-coding RNA, 6475 nt
Organism: Brassica rapa (field mustard)
Lineage: Eukaryota; Viridiplantae; Streptophyta; Magnoliopsida; Brassicales; Brassicaceae
Source: RefSeq, a predicted model, not a curated record
UGUAUAGACGGCGUCAUAUAUACAUAAUAAUACUAUGAUGCCCUUUCCAAUUAACCGGGUAACCUGCUACAAGAUAAAUAAAUAAAAAAAAAAAUUUAUUGCCCAAAGUGAAUCGUGUCUUCUCCUUCUCCCUUUCUUCAUCGGUUGUUUCAGGAAUUAUAAAGGACCCUGGUGCUUAUCUCCUCAUACGGCUCCCCUCUCACAGCAAUCAACCUUUCAUCUUCGUCGUCUUCCCUUUUAAUCAACUUCGGCUUUACGGGCGUCUGUGGUUCGGUUUUGCGCGACAGUUUCGGCGGAGAGGACUAACACCGCCGGCAUCUCCAACUUCACAGAGUAUCUGCUUUCUCAGAUCUUUCACAACGCUGUAUCAUUGUGCCAUAGAUUCUAUUAUUUCUCUGUAAGUUCUCUGUUUGUGCCAUAGAUUCUAUUAUUUCUAUGUUAGCUCUCCUAGUUGGAAUAGAUUCGGGCCUACUGUAUUCUAAGUUGAUAAAUCUAGCUUAUUGUUUCUGUUGCAUGCCCGAUCUGGUAAACUGAGGUAAAACAAUUGAUUUAGGGUUAAAAUUUUCUCACUACGAAGGGGGGAUAGUGAUUUUGGAAUGAAAAGUCUCUUUUGCGAUAAAACAAGUUUAGUUCUGUGUGAAAUGGAAUAUCUUAUGGAGCAUGUGCUAUUUGAAAUGGAAAAUUUAGUUUUACAGACUCGUUAUGUGUCAUUCCAUUCCUCUGCUAUUUCUGAAGAAUCAUAUCAGAAGUAAUAUACUAUUCGCUUUCCAUUCCAUCAGACCAACUGUUACAUUCCAUAUCUAUAAAUUAUAUAUUAUAUCAGAUGGUUCAAUUCUAGUUGCACAUGUUACUUCUUUACUUGCAUAGGCUAUUUGGAAUUGACACAACUAAACAUUUAACUUAAGCAUAAAGUAAUGCAUAUACUAGUAGCAUAUCUCAUAUGAUGUCAUUUCCUUCAAACUUAUAAACUAACAUGUGUCUUCAUUUUCAUUUUGUUCUUUAGAUUUGUCAUGGAUGAAUUGGAAGAGUGUUUAUAUGUGGUUUAUAUUAGUCUGUAUAUGAUUUUGUAAAGAGAAAUAAUAUAUUGAACGUAAAUAGAAUAAUAUUUAUCAUGACAUCAAAUAAAACAAAAUACAAUGUGAUGUUGAAUGGGAAUGAUACAUAAAUGAUGUUGUCUCUUCCACCUCUUUUUUCUAAUACCGUUAAUCUUCGUUUCUUUCCCCACAACAAUCUAAAUUUGGUGUAAGCAUUACCUCUAUCCCUACAAUCAUAGACACUUCAAAAUUUGAACAAUAUAUAUAUGUACUGUGCUAUAUCGUUUGUAACAUUUUAUAUUCUAUAGCUCAUGUAGUAUGGAAAUGCAUAUACUUGGGGGUUUAGUUUAUGAAAGAUUGGGUUUGACAUUGGAUUAGGGUUUAUAUUUCCAUAUAGGGUUUAGUGAUUAGUGGAUAGGGUUUAAUUUAUGGAACAUUGGAGUUGACAUUGGAUUAGGGUUUAUAUUUUUAUGUAGGAUUUAGUGAUAGUUGAUAGGGUUUUGUUUAUGUACGAUUAGAGUUGGCAUUGGGACAAACAUUACCACCUUCCAUGAAGGCAUGACCAUAUUAGCAUUUGAAAAAUAUGUUAAGAUGAUCUUUACAUUGGAAAUACAUUUUUGUCAUUUCUUUUCUAUAUGCCCUCAUGUAUAAUGGUAAUGCAUUUUACAGGCCUUUAAAAAUUUGGGUUUAGUUUAUAAAAAAAUGGGGUUAACAUUGGUUAAGCAUUUAGAAUGUGACGGAGUAUGUUUGGGGUCAGCAUUAACUUCUUUCAUGUAAUUAUAGAUAUAUCAUAAUAUUUUUGAUAUGUACUAUGUUAUUUAUUUUUUUCCAUUUUAUUUAGGUUUGGGUUUUAUAUUUGGAUUUAUGAUUUAUAUUUGGGUUUAAGAUUUAUUAAUUAGAGUUUAGGGUUUAGUAUUUAAGGGUUGAGGUGUAAUUGGGAAACUCGAUUUAUUAGAAUAAUAGCAAUGAAAAUUACUUGGUCGUUCCCUCAAAUUAGGUAAUCCUUGCUUUCUUGACCUUCUUGCUUUUGAAUUCCUUCAGAUGGACUUACAAUGGUAAUUAGAUGGAAUACAACACUUAUUGGUACACGUUCUAAUUUACACCACUUGUUUAACUCUGCACAGUAAAACAUCUCUAAUAACUCCGUCUAUUUACGUGGCUUCCUCCUAGUCUUUUAUAAGGAAUAGCUGCAAUCCAUUAGUGGUCAUUUACUGCAGAAAAUACAUCAUCAUCUCUGCACAACCGUAUACAUUAGCGUCUAUGUAAGUGGUUAUUUUAGGUCAUGUGCAUACACGUAUUCUACUUUAUGUAGUUCAUGUGGAAUGGAAAGAAGAUUCUUCACAUGUAUCUAAUUACGUUCAUAAUAUAUAUUACAUUCCAUCUGACUCAUGUCAAACGGAAAGUUUCGUCGUCUAAAUUGGACGGUUUUACUGAACUCGGCUUGACUUUAUGUAAACCAUUUCAUAUUUUACUUUCACCAUGCACCUUAUCACGGUUCUAAAAUUGAGAACACCAUCACUCCAUUGUAAAUGAACUUACAAUAAACCAUUCCACGUACGUGACGUAGUAUGGAAAGCAAUACAAUCGGAAUAGGAUUUAAGUCAUCAUCUUCAAAUCGCCGUUAUGUUAACAGAGACUCUAUCUCCCUCACAUCUGUUCGUCACUACUCUAGAUUUAUAUCCUCUUUCAUACGUGCUCAAGACAGCUGCGCACAAUGAUCCCUAUUACAUGUGAUUGUUACUGUGGCAGACAAACCCUCCACGUCGUUUACUUUAUAACAACGAACCGACAACUUGUUAUGGUGAGGGGUAUAACCGGAUGGAAUCAAGCCAAAAAGUCUGACAAUGAAUUACGUCAAAAUCAUUGUUACUCUCUUCAUUUGUCUUUGAAAUAUGGCUAUCAGACCAAUAAGCCCUAUUUAAAAACGCCAUAAUUUAUUUUACUAUUUCUUGAAUAUACUGUUUGUACAAGAAAGGAAGAUAAAUGUUUUUUAUGUAUUAUAUUAUACUCCUUCCGUUUCAUAUUAGUUGUAGUUUUAAAGUUGAAAUUUUAUUUUAUUUAAAGUGUCAUUCUAUAUUUUCAAUGCAAAAUUUAUCAACAAUAUUUUCUAUUUUAUUUUUCUAUUAGUUGGAAUAUAGUUAAAUAUAUAAGUAAUGAUGUUUUUCUUUUGAAAUAUGCAAAAUUAAAUAUUUUUUUAGUCAGUAUGCAUCACUCUAAAACGAUAAAUAAAAUGAAAUAUCAAAAUUUUAAAAUAAAAAAAACAUUUAGAGUUGUUAAUGGAAUCUCAAUUACAACCUUACAAAUGGUAGUUCGUUUUUUGGUUUAUAGAUACCCCCUCCAUUUAAGUUUAUUGAUGUAUACUAAAAUUUUCGUUUCAAAAUAAAUAUCAUUUUAUAAUUUAAAUUAAUAAUUUAUUGAUUUUUAUUUCAGUUUUUUCUUUUAUUGGUUAAAAUAUAUUAAAUAUAUUAAUAAUGAUGUUUUUAUUUUAGAAAUAUAUAAAAUUAAAUGUUUUAUUAAUUUAUGUGCUUAAUUCUAAAAUGAUAAUUAAAACUAAACAGAUAGAGUAGUACAUAGUUAUGUUUUGCUUUCUUUGUGGAACAUUUAUGUUAUGUUUUUGUUUUUGCAUGCAAAUUAUUACAAAACGACUUUGUCGUUUUGUUAACGGCCUGAUUUCACAAUUACAUAAUUAUAUCAAAUUAUAUUCACUAAUUUCACAAUUAAUUCAUUAAUAAUACGUACUAGUUAUGUUUAUAAUAAAAAUAAAGCACUUUAAUUUUUUUGUACCGUACAAAAAUACUUCAAUUAUCUCACUUCUUUUCAGUGUGGACCCCUUUUAUCUAUGUUAAUACUUAAUACUCGUCGUUUAAUCUGACACAAGCGACACGACCAAUGCGAUUCUUAAAUUUUCCUUUGCUAUGUAAAAUCUAACACGUACAUUAAGUAGAGAAGCUUUUAAGUUUUUAUGAAAACCACUCCAUGUCAAAUCCAACGAAGUAAAAGGAAUCAAGAAAUAUUUAUUAUUAAAUGAAAAUAAAGAGCAACAGGUCUCCAAAGAAAAACAACAAUGCGGUUCGAUUUUGUGAUUAUUUCAUAUUUUAUGAAUUAUUGUUUUUACCUUUAAAUAUGUUUUGUUUGUCUUUAAAGAACAUGGCAACAAUCCGUACGGUCUAGCGCUUCAGAGCCACAUAGGCCCAUUAUAAUUCAGACCAAGCUGGCCUCCACAACCAUCACUCGGGUCCUGACUCGGAUUCUCACUCAGUUCCUGUCUCGUGGGGCCCAAAACUCAACCGGAACCAGACUCAUUUUCUUUUCAUUCAAGAAAUGAGAUUAAGACGGAACAUAUGAUCAAGUUUUGAUCCAUAUCCAGAAGAAUUAUUAAAGUGUGCUAUGAUAAAAGCUUGAGAUCAGUUCUUUUAUACAACUAACCUGUGAAUCAGUGAAUGUUUUAUCAUAAAUGUAGUCUUCUAAUUACCUAACUAACUGUUUUAUUAAUUUAUGUGCUUAAUUCUAAAAUGAUAAUUAAAACUAAACAGAUAGAGUAGUACAUAGUUAUGUUUUGCUUUCUUUGUGGAACAUUUAUGUUAUGUUUUUGUUUUUGCAUGCAAAUUAUUACAAAACGACUUUGUCGUUUUGUUAACGGCCUGAUUUCACAAUUACAUAAUUAUAUCAAAUUAUAUUCACUAAUUUCACAAUUAAUUCAUUAAUAAUACGUACUAGUUAUGUUUAUAAUAAAAAUAAAGCACUUUAAUUUUUUUGUACCGUACAAAAAUACUUCAAUUAUCUCACUUCUUUUCAGUGUGGACCCCUUUUAUCUAUGUUAAUACUUAAUACUCGUCGUUUAAUCUGACACAAGCGACACGACCAAUGCGAUUCUUAAAUUUUCCUUUGCUAUGUAAAAUCUAACACGUACAUUAAGUAGAGAAGCUUUUAAGUUUUUAUGAAAACCACUCCAUGUCAAAUCCAACGAAGUAAAAGGAAUCAAGAAAUAUUUAUUAUUAAAUGAAAAUAAAGAGCAACAGGUCUCCAAAGAAAAACAACAAUGCGGUUCGAUUUUGUGAUUAUUUCAUAUUUUAUGAAUUAUUGUUUUUACCUUUAAAUAUGUUUUGUUUGUCUUUAAAGAACAUGGCAACAAUCCGUACGGUCUAGCGCUUCAGAGCCACAUAGGCCCAUUAUAAUUCAGACCAAGCUGGCCUCCACAACCAUCACUCGGGUCCUGACUCGGAUUCUCACUCAGUUCCUGUCUCGUGGGGCCCAAAACUCAACCGGAACCAGACUCAUUUUCUUUUCAUUCAAGAAAUGAGAUUAAGACGGAACAUAUGAUCAAGUUUUGAUCCAUAUCCAGAAGAAUUAUUAAAGUGUGCUAUGAUAAAAGCUUGAGAUCAGUUCUUUUAUACAACUAACCUGUGAAUCAGUGAAUGUUUUAUCAUAAAUGUAGUCUUCUAAUUACCUAACUAACCUGUGAAUCAGUGAAUGUUACACGAGGUUUGACGGUGAUACGAUUAGUCUCAUUCUCGUCGUUGGUAAUUGUUGCCGAUCAUUUACCACAAGUCCAUAACAAAACGGACAAGAGCGAUCUAUUCAUAAUUAAUUACUCUUAAGUUUGUAAGUUAUCACAUCUCGGUCAGUUUAUCUGAGAUGAUUCCAAUAGUAGUUUUUCAAAGGUGGAUUAAAGAGAGAACACAAAAAUCUUGUGAUUUUUUUUUUGGUCAAAAAAUCUUGUGAUUUUAUAAAAAAAAAGUUUUAUUUUAAUUUACUUUCUUUGUUGGCCCUUAAAAAGAUGUCUUCCUAUUUUCUUUAAUACCUCAUUAAUAGCAACUUUGGAAUGUGAUUCACUUUAAAUUCACAGCUUGUGUGGGGGAACACAGAAAGGAAUCUUGGGCGAAGAACCAAAUUAUAACCCUUUGGAACCAUGUGAAAACUGUCUUUUAUCAUCGUUUAUGCUCGAAUCAUAUCUAUUGUGCACGUAAACUCACAUAUGGUAAAUGGAAAGUAAGGGAAGCAUAAAUGACUUUUAAAAAACAAAAAUAUUCUAAAAGCUAAUCAAAAGUAAGCAUUUUCUGCCUUCAGUUAACAAUGUCUUAUCCAGCGUGGCCAUGGCGCUUUAAGCGUCUAAGGCUUUUGCGGCUCUUGGUUUCGUUUAUGUUGUAAACUGGGAUCUGCGGGUAGACCAACAUGAGUAGACUCAAGCUUGUGUUAAGUAGCUCGUGAAGACAGCAUUUGGGUGUGUGAUAUUAUCCUAUUUAUAAGACCAAAUCAAAAGCCAACAAAGUUGGAUAUGUCUAAAAGUUUGACCAUUACUCAAAAACACGCUCUUAUUAGAAUCGAAGACCUAUUCAAGCUAAUAACAGAUCAAUCAGAUGAACUUUUAGUUUCCGUUCGUUAUUGAAAAACACCCAACAUAAUCGUUUGUCUUCCCCCAAAAACACAGACAAACUUCAAAA